RNAcentral lists this transfer RNA (57 nucleotides) under Bos taurus (domestic cattle). It matches the Rfam family "tRNA", at positions 8 to 63 of the family's 71-position model. Rfam says of the family: Transfer RNA (tRNA) molecules are approximately 80 nucleotides in length. Their secondary structure includes four short double-helical elements and three loops (D, anti-codon, and T loops). Further hydrogen bonds mediate the characteristic L-shaped molecular structure. tRNAs have two regions of fundamental functional importance: the anti-codon, which is responsible for specific mRNA codon recognition, and the 3' end, to which the tRNAs corresponding amino acid is attached (by aminoacyl-tRNA synthetases). tRNAs cope with the degeneracy of the genetic code in two manners: having more than one tRNA (with a specific anti-codon) for a particular amino acid; and 'wobble' base-pairing, i.e. permitting non-standard base-pairing at the 3rd anti-codon position. The record is from Rfam by way of RNAcentral. Lineage: Eukaryota; Metazoa; Chordata; Mammalia; Artiodactyla; Bovidae. RNAcentral also lists the same sequence under 5 other names.
UGGCUCAGAUGGUAAAGCAUCUGCCUGCGAUGCAGAGGACCUGGGUUCGAUCCCCUG